AUUUUUAUUUUUUUCGAGACAGAGUCUCGCUCUGUCGCUCAGGUUGGAGUGAAGUGGCACGAUCUCGGCCUACUGCAACCUCUGCCUCCUGGGUUCAAGCGAUUCUCCUGCCUCAGCCUCCCAAGUAGCUGGGAUUACAGACGCAUGCUAUCACGCCUGGCUAAUUUUUGUAUUUUUAAUAGAGAUGGGAUUCCACUAUGUUGGCCAGGCUGGUCUCGAACUCCUGAACUCGUGGUCCACCCACCUCAGCCACCCAAAGUACUGGGAUUACACGCAUGAGCCA
RNAcentral lists this long non-coding RNA (283 nucleotides) under Homo sapiens (human). RNAcentral describes it as "non-protein coding lnc-RNF125-6:1". Lineage: Eukaryota; Metazoa; Chordata; Mammalia; Primates; Hominidae. The record is from RNAcentral.